UAGGGAAUAUUGGUCAAUGGGCGAGAGCCUGAACCAGCCAUGCCGCGUGCAGGACGACGGCCUUCUGGGUUGUAAACUGCUUUUAUACAGGAAUAAAAAGGGCCUGCGGGCUUCAUUGCAUGUACUGUAUGAAUAAGCACCGGCUAACUCCGUGCCAGCAGCGGCGGUAAGACGGAGGGCGCUAGCGUUGUUCGGAAUCACUGGGCGUAAAGGGCGCGUAGGCGGCUGUUUAAGUCGAGGGUGAAAGCCCGGGGCUCAACCCCGGAACGGCCUUCGAGACUGGGCAGCUCGAGACCGGAAGAGGAGGGUGGAAUACCCAGUGUAGAGGUGAAAUUCGUAGAUAUUGGGUGGAACACCAGUGGCAAAAGCGGCUCUCUGGUCCGGAUCUGACGCUGAGGCGCGAAAGCGUGGGGAGCAAACAGGAUUAGAUACCCGGGUAGUCC
Molecule: ribosomal RNA, 443 nt
Filed under: uncultured prokaryote
Description: bacterial SSU rRNA
Rfam family: Bacterial small subunit ribosomal RNA
Source: RNAcentral